GCCUCAUCGGGAGUUCUUUUCAAGCACUUCAGGAUGCAUCUUUUGAGAACUUAUCUGAAGUGUUUGGGGGAACUCUCUGUGUCAC
This 85-nucleotide microRNA precursor is filed under the name Hordeum vulgare. Its description in RNAcentral is "mir-395 microRNA precursor family". It matches the Rfam family "mir-395 microRNA precursor family". Rfam says of the family: mir-395 was identified in both Arabidopsis thaliana and Oryza sativa computationally and was later experimentally verified. mir-395 is thought to target mRNAs coding for ATP sulphurylases. The mature sequence is excised from the 3' arm of the hairpin. The record is from RNAcentral. Lineage: Eukaryota; Viridiplantae; Streptophyta; Magnoliopsida; Poales; Poaceae.